CAAAAAACAUGUAAAAUUUGCUUCUCAAAAUAGUAAAUUUGGAAGUGAAAUAAAUAAAGUAGUUGACAAAAGAGCGUAAUUCAGGGAAGAGACCAAGGAAUUAAGGGGAAAUAAAAAGAAAGAAAGGUCGGCAAAACAUGGAGAAAUAAAAGGAAAAGAAAAGAUUAGUGGAAUAAUCAAAAGUAAAAGUGUUAUGAGCUAGGGAAGCAAUUGUGUCGAAACGUGUGUUUUAGAGCGAUCGAUAAUUUUCGAGUCGGGAAGUGUUAGACUACCAGCUAACGAUGUGAUACCAAAAUCUGGAAAAUCUCUGUCCAAAAACGUUGAGGAAAUAGCUGAAGAGUCAUUAGAUAAGACUGUUGAUGUACCACUUGAAUUUGUAUAGGCUAAUGUUUUACGAAGAAGGUCCUGCGUAGCAUGGAAAGAAGGUGGAGACUUGGCAUAAUUGUUCACAGUAGCCAUAUCACGGUGCAAAUCUUUGCUGUGAAGUGUCGGUGAAUGAUUAGAUGACCGGGGACUGUAUUUAGAGGAUUCACUGUUUACAGAUUGAUUUUCGCGCUUAUCUUCGUGAGAUAGAAUCGAUAGCUGAGGGGAAAUUAAAUCACUUAAACACGUAGAAGCAGAAAGUUGCGUACUACCAGACUUGGAGUUAGGAGAGUUAUUCAACAAAGCUUCUUGACUUUUAUUUAUAGCAACAAGAAAUUCGGUUGAAGGCAAAGGACGGUCAAAUUCCUUCGCUUUGGGGGAAGUAGAAUCUUCAGAAGAUGAAAUAAUGAAGUUUCGUAACUUGAGAUUCAAAGGAGUAGAUGGGCGUAUUUGGGGUAAAACGGGAAAAAAUGUUGAAGAGGUGA
Molecule: non-coding RNA, 848 nt
Organism: Schizosaccharomyces pombe (fission yeast)
Lineage: Eukaryota; Fungi; Ascomycota; Schizosaccharomycetes; Schizosaccharomycetales; Schizosaccharomycetaceae
Source: the annotation of a GenBank genome assembly